CAGCCGCCACGGUAAUACGUAGGGUGCAAGCGUUAAUCGGAAUUACUGGGCGUAAAGCGUGCGCAGGCGGUUAUAUAAGUCAGAUGUGAAAUCCCCGGGCUCAACCUGGGAACUGCAUUUGAGACUGUAUGGCUAGAGUGUGUCAGAGGGGGGUAGAAUUCCACGUGUAGCAGUGAAAUGCGUAGAUAUGUGAAGGAAUACCGAUGGCGAAGGCAGCCCCCUGGGAUAACACUGACGCUCAUGCGCGAAAGCUAGGGGAGCAAAUGGGAUUAGAGACCCCCGUAGUCCCUGUCUCUUAUAC
This 301-nucleotide ribosomal RNA is filed under the name uncultured bacterium. Its description in RNAcentral is "partial 16S ribosomal RNA". It matches the Rfam family "Bacterial small subunit ribosomal RNA", at positions 509 to 807 of the family's 1533-position model. The record is from RNAcentral.